CGGGGUGAGUAAUGUCUGGGAAACUGCCUGAUGGAGGGGGAUAACUACUGGAAACGGUAGCUAAUACCGCAUAAUGUCGCAAGACCAAAGAGGGGGACCUUCGGGCCUCUUGCCAUCGGAUGUGCCCAGAUGGGAUUAGCUAGUAGGUGGGGUAACGGCUCACCUAGGCGACGAUCCCUAGCUGGUCUGAGAGGAUGGCCAGCCACACUGGAACUGAGACACGGUCCAG
RNAcentral lists this ribosomal RNA (229 nucleotides) under uncultured bacterium. RNAcentral describes it as "partial 16S ribosomal RNA". It matches the Rfam family "Bacterial small subunit ribosomal RNA", at positions 104 to 334 of the family's 1533-position model. The record is from RNAcentral.